Molecule: ribosomal RNA, 494 nt
Filed under: uncultured bacterium
Lineage: Bacteria
Description: partial 16S ribosomal RNA
Rfam family: Bacterial small subunit ribosomal RNA
Source: RNAcentral
GACGAACGCUGGCGGCGUGCCUAAUACAUGCAAGUUGAGCGCUGAAGGUUGGUACUUGUACCAACUGGAUGAGCAGCGAACGGGUGAGUAACGCGUGGGGAAUCUGCCUUUGAGCGGGGGACAACAUUUGGAAACGAAUGCUAAUACCGCAUAAAAACUUUAAACACAAGUUUUAAGUUUGAAAGAUGCAAUUGCAUCACUCAAAGAUGAUCCCGCGUUGUAUUAGCUAGUUGGUGAGGUAAAGGCUCACCAAGGCGAUGAUACAUAGCCGACCUGAGAGGGUGAUCGGCCACAUUGGGACUGAGACACGGCCCAAACUCCGGGAGGCAGCAGUAGGGAAUCUUCGGCAAUGGACGAAAGUCUGACCGAGCAACGCCGCGUGAGUGAAGAAGGUUUUCGGAUCGUAAAACUCUGUUGGUAGAGAAGAACGUUGGUGAGAGUGGAAAGCUCAUCAAGUGACGGUAACUACCCAGAAAGGGACGGCUAACUACGUG